This 255-nucleotide ribosomal RNA is filed under the name uncultured bacterium. RNAcentral's name for it is "partial 16S ribosomal RNA". It matches the Rfam family "Bacterial small subunit ribosomal RNA", at positions 524 to 776 of the family's 1533-position model. The record is from RNAcentral.
UACGUAGGGGGCGAGCGUUGUCCGGAUUUAUUGGGCGUAAAAAAGCUCGUAGGCGGCUUGGCAAGUCGGGUGUGAAACCUCCAGGCUCAACCUGGAGACGCCACUCGAUACUGCCAUGGCUAGAGUCCGGUAGGGGACCACGGAAUUCCUGGUGUAGCGGUGAAAUGCGCAGAUAUCAGGAGGAACACCGGUGGCGAAGGCGGUGGUCUGGGCCGGCACUGACGCUGAGGAGCGAAAGCGUGGGUAGCAAACAGG